GCCAGAGGAUUCUACAAACCUGAUUAUUAGUGUCGUGUGAGUACUAUAUAAUAGUUAAAACUUUCAACAACGGAUCUCUUGGUUCUGGCAUCGAUGAAGAACGCAGCGAAAUGCGAUAAGUAAUGUGAAUUGCAGAAUUCAGUGAAUCAUCGAAUCUUUGAACGCACAUUGCGCCCCGUGGUAUUCCGCGGGGCAUGCCCGUUCGAGCGUCAUUAUGACCAAUCCCGUUCGCGGGGUCUUGGGCACCGCCGUCUGGCGGGCCUCAAAAUCAGUGGCGGUACGGCCGGGCUCUGAGCGUAGUAAAUCUUCUCGCUACAGGGUCCCGGGCGGCACUGGCCAGCAACCCCCAAUCUUUCACAGGUUGACCUCGGGUCAGGUAGGGAUACCCGCUGAACUUAA
RNAcentral lists this ribosomal RNA (399 nucleotides) under uncultured Zalerion. RNAcentral describes it as "eukaryotic LSU rRNA". The stretch from base 59 to 212 matches the Rfam family "5.8S ribosomal RNA". The record is from RNAcentral. Lineage: Eukaryota; Fungi; Ascomycota.